UACGUAGGGACCAAGCGUUGUUCGGAUUUACUGGGCGUAAAGGGCGCGUAGGCGGCUUAACAAGUCACUUGUGAAAUCUCCGGGCUUAACUCGGAACGGCCAAGUGAAACUGUCAGGCUAGAGUGCAGAAGGGGCAAUCGGAAUUCUUGGUGUAGCGGUGAAAUGCGUAGAUAUCAAGAGGAACACCUGAGGUGAAGACGGGUUGCUGGGCUGACACUGACGCUGAGGCGCGAAAGCCAGGGGAGCAAACGGG
Molecule: ribosomal RNA, 253 nt
Filed under: uncultured bacterium
Lineage: Bacteria
Description: partial 16S ribosomal RNA
Rfam family: Bacterial small subunit ribosomal RNA
Source: RNAcentral